GACGAACGCUGGCGGCGUGCUUAACACAUGCAAGUCGAACGGAAAGGCCCUGCUUUUGUGGGGUGCUCGAGUGGCGAACGGGUGAGUAACACGUGAGUAACCUGCCCUUGACUGUGGGAUAACUUCAGGAAACUGGGGCUAAUACCGGAUAGGAGCUCCUGCUGCAUGGUGGGGGUUGGAAAGUUUCGGCGGUUGGGGAUGGACUCGCGGCUUAUCAGCUUGUUGGUGGGGUAGUGGCUUACCAAGGCUUUGACGGGUAGCCGGCCUGCGAGGGUGACCGGCCACAUUGGGACUGAGAUACGGCCCAGACUCCUACGGGAGGCAGCAGUGGGGAAUAUUGCACGAUGGGCGGAAGCCUGAUGCAGCAACGCCGCGUGCGGGAUGACGGCCUUCGGGUUGUAAACCGCUUUCGCCUGUGACGAAGCGUGAGUGACGGUAAUGGGUAAAGAAGCACCGGCUAACUACGUG
RNAcentral lists this ribosomal RNA (468 nucleotides) under uncultured bacterium. RNAcentral's name for it is "partial 16S ribosomal RNA". It matches the Rfam family "Bacterial small subunit ribosomal RNA", at positions 28 to 507 of the family's 1533-position model. The record is from RNAcentral.